This 736-nucleotide ribosomal RNA is filed under the name Enterobacter kobei. Its description in RNAcentral is "bacterial SSU rRNA". It matches the Rfam family "Bacterial small subunit ribosomal RNA", at positions 8 to 736 of the family's 1533-position model. Lineage: Bacteria; Pseudomonadati; Pseudomonadota; Gammaproteobacteria; Enterobacterales; Enterobacteriaceae. The record is from RNAcentral.
AGAGUNUGAUCCUGGCUCAGAUUGAACGCUGGCGGCAGGCCUAACACAUGCAAGUCGAGCGGUAGCACAGAGAGCUUGCUCUCGGGUGACGAGCGGCGGACGGGUGAGUAAUGUCUGGGAAACUGCCUGAUGGAGGGGGAUAACUACUGGAAACGGUAGCUAAUACCGCAUAAUGUCGCAAGACCAAAGAGGGGGACCUUCGGGCCUCUUGCCAUCAGAUGUGCCCAGAUGGGAUUAGCUAGUAGGUGGGGUAACGGCUCACCUAGGCGACGAUCCCUAGCUGGUCUGAGAGGAUGACCAGCCACACUGGAACUGAGACACGGUCCAGACUCCUACGGGAGGCAGCAGUGGGGAAUAUUGCACAAUGGGCGCAAGCCUGAUGCAGCCAUGCCGCGUGUAUGAAGAAGGCCUUCGGGUUGUAAAGUACUUUCAGCGGGGAGGAAGGUGUUGAGGUUAAUAACCUCAGCAAUUGACGUUACCCGCAGAAGAAGCACCGGCUAACUCCGUGCCAGCAGCCGCGGUAAUACGGAGGGUGCAAGCGUUAAUCGGAAUUACUGGGCGUAAAGCGCACGCAGGCGGUCUGUCAAGUCGGAUGUGAAAUCCCCGGGCUCAACCUGGGAACUGCAUCCGAAACUGGCAGGCUUGAGUCUUGUAGAGGGGGGUAGAAUUCCAGGUGUAGCGGUGAAAUGCGUAGAGAUCUGGAGGAAUACCGGUGGCGAAGGCGGCCCCCUNACAA